RNAcentral lists this ribosomal RNA (253 nucleotides) under uncultured bacterium. RNAcentral describes it as "partial 16S ribosomal RNA". It matches the Rfam family "Bacterial small subunit ribosomal RNA", at positions 524 to 776 of the family's 1533-position model. The record is from RNAcentral.
UACGAAGGGGGCUAGCGUUGUUCGGAAUUACUGGGCGUAAAGCGCGCGCAGGCGGUCUUCCGAGUCAGUGGUGAAAGCCCGGAGCUCAACUCCGGAACUGCCAUUGAAACUGUAAGACUUGAGGAUGAGAGAGGUGAGUGGAAUUCCCAGUGUAGAGGUGAAAUUCGUAGAUAUUCGCAAGAACACCAGUGGCGAAGGCGGCUCACUGGCCCGGUACUGACGCUGAGGUGCGAAAGCGUGGGGAGCAAACAGG